UGUGUGUGUGUUGUGUGUGUGUGUGUGCGUGCGUGCACGCACACACACACACACACACACACACA
Molecule: microRNA precursor, 65 nt
Filed under: Podarcis lilfordi (Lilford's wall lizard)
Lineage: Eukaryota; Metazoa; Chordata; Lepidosauria; Squamata; Lacertidae
Source: RNAcentral